This 274-nucleotide long non-coding RNA is filed under the name Ananas comosus (pineapple). RNAcentral's name for it is "long non-coding RNA (ACOM_LNC022192)". Lineage: Eukaryota; Viridiplantae; Streptophyta; Magnoliopsida; Poales; Bromeliaceae. The record is from RNAcentral.
AGGGUUUUUGGUUGCUGGCGAAGCUUCUUAUUGGUUGCGCGGAUGUGAUGUUUAUCUGUUUGCAUAUUGGAAAUGGAGAUUGAUCGAUGAUUGUGUACUGUUUUGUUAAUGUCUUAUUCCCCCCCUAAUAAAUGUUGACCAAUUCCAACUUAAUUUUUCAGCAGAUGGAUUUUUUCUUUCAAAGCUGAGAUUUGGGAUGUGAUUGUAAGGAUGUAGAAAGGUUUCAGGAAUUUAUUUGUUCAAGUAAAAAGUUAAACUUUCUGAAUUGUCGGUG